This 27-nucleotide small nuclear RNA is filed under the name Arabidopsis thaliana (thale cress). Its description in RNAcentral is "snRNA_01377". Lineage: Eukaryota; Viridiplantae; Streptophyta; Magnoliopsida; Brassicales; Brassicaceae. The record is from RNAcentral.
UUUUCAGUACGAAUACGAACCGUGAAA